GGUUAAGCGACUAAGCGUACACGGUGGAUGCCCUGGCAGUCAGAGGCGAUGAAGGACGUGCUAAUCUGCGAUAAGCGUCGGUAAGGUGAUAUGAACCGUUAUAACCGGCGAUUUCCGAAUGGGGAAACCCAGUGUGAUUCGUCACACUAUCAUUAACUGAAUCCAUAGGUUAAUGAGGCGAACCGGGGGAACUGAAACAUCUAAGUACCCCGAGGAAAAGAAAUCAACCGAGAUUCCCCCAGUAGCGGCGAGCGAACGGGGAGCAGCCCAGAGCCUGAAUCAGUGUGUGUGUUAGUGGAAGCGUCUGGAAAGGCGUGCGAUACAGGGUGACAGCCCCGUACACAAAAAUGCACAUGCUGUGAGCUCGAUGAGUAGGGCGGGACACGUGGUAUCCUGUCUGAAUAUGGGGGGACCAUCCUCCAAGGCUAAAUACUCCUGACUGACCGAUAGUGAACCAGUACCGUGAGGGAAAGGCGAAAAGAACCCCGGCGAGGGGAGUGAAAAAGAACCUGAAACCGUGUACGUACAAGCAGUGGGAGCACAGAGCAAUCUGUGUGACUGCGUACCUUUUGUAUAAUGGGUCAGCGACUUAUAUUCUGUAGCAAGGUUAACCGAAUAGGGGAGCCGAAGGGAAACCGAGUCUUAACUGGGCGUUAAGUUGCAGGGUAUAGACCCGAAACCCGGUGAUCUAGCCAUGGGCAGGUUGAAGGUUGGGUAACACUAACUGGAGGACCGAACCGACUAAUGUUGAAAAAUUAGCGGAUGACUUGUGGCUGGGGGUGAAAGGCCAAUCAAACCGGGAGAUAGCUGGUUCUCCCCGAAAGCUAUUUAGGUAGCGCCUCGUGAAUUCAUCUCCGGGGGUAGAGCACUGUUUCGGCAAGGGGGUCAUCCCGACUUACCAACCCGAUGCAAACUGCGAAUACCGGAGAAUGUUAUCACGGGAGACACACGGCGGGUGCUAACGUCCGUCGUGAAGAGGGAAACAACCCAGACCGCCAGCUAAGGUCCCAAAGUCAUGGUUAAGUGGGAAACGAUGUGGGAAGGCCCAGACAGCCAGGAUGUUGGCUUAGAAGCAGCCAUCAUUUAAAGAAAGCGUAAUAGCUCACUGGUCGAGUCGGCCUGCGCGGAAGAUGUAACGGGGCUAAACCAUGCACCGAAGCUGCGGCAGCGACACUAUGUGUUGUUGGGUAGGGGAGCGUUCUGUAAGCCUGUGAAGGUGUACUGUGAGGUAUGCUGGAGGUAUCAGAAGUGCGAAUGCUGACAUAAGUAACGAUAAAGCGGGUGAAAAGCCCGCUCGCCGGAAGACCAAGGGUUCCUGUCCAACGUUAAUCGGGGCAGGGUGAGUCGACCCCUAAGGCGAGGCCGAAAGGCGUAGUCGAUGGGAAACAGGUUAAUAUUCCUGUACUUGGUGUUACUGCGAAGGGGGGACGGAGAAGGCUAUGUUGGCCGGGCGACGGUUGUCCCGGUUUAAGCGUGUAGGCUGGUUUUCCAGGCAAAUCCGGAAAAUCAAGGCUGAGGCGUGAUGACGAGGCACUACGGUGCUGAAGCAACAAAUGCCCUGCUUCCAGGAAAAGCCUCUAAGCAUCAGGUAACAUCAAAUCGUACCCCAAACCGACACAGGUGGUCAGGUAGAGAAUACCAAGGCGCUUGAGAGAACUCGGGUGAAGGAACUAGGCAAAAUGGUGCCGUAACUUCGGGAGAAGGCACGCUGAUAUGUAGGUGAAGUCCCUCGCGGAUGGAGCUGAAAUCAGUCGAAGAUACCAGCUGGCUGCAACUGUUUAUUAAAAACACAGCACUGUGCAAACACGAAAGUGGACGUAUACGGUGUGACGCCUGCCCGGUGCCGGAAGGUUAAUUGAUGGGGUCAGCGCAAGCGAAGCUCUUGAUCGAAGCCCCGGUAAACGGCGGCCGUAACUAUAACGGUCCUAAGGUAGCGAAAUUCCUUGUCGGGUAAGUUCCGACCUGCACGAAUGGCGUAAUGAUGGCCAGGCUGUCUCCACCCGAGACUCAGUGAAAUUGAACUCGCUGUGAAGAUGCAGUGUACCCGCGGCAAGACGGAAAGACCCCGUGAACCUUUACUAUAGCUUGACACUGAACAUUGAGCCUUGAUGUGUAGGAUAGGUGGGAGGCUUUGAAGUGUGGACGCCAGUCUGCAUGGAGCCGACCUUGAAAUACCACCCUUUAAUGUUUGAUGUUCUAACGUUGACCCGUGAUCCGGGUUGCGGACAGUGUCUGGUGGGUAGUUUGACUGGGGCGGUCUCCUCCUAAAGAGUAACGGAGGAGCACGAAGGUUGGCUAAUCCUGGUCGGACAUCAGGAGGUUAGUGCAAUGGCAUAAGCCAGCUUGACUGCGAGCGUGACGGCGCGAGCAGGUGCGAAAGCAGGUCAUAGUGAUCCGGUGGUUCUGAAUGGAAGGGCCAUCGCUCAACGGAUAAAAGGUACUCCGGGGAUAACAGGCUGAUACCGCCCAAGAGUUCAUAUCGACGGCGGUGUUUGGCACCUCGAUGUCGGCUCAUCACAUCCUGGGGCUGAAGUAGGUCCCAAGGGUAUGGCUGUUCGCCAUUUAAAGUGGUACGCGAGCUGGGUUUAGAACGUCGUGAGACAGUUCGGUCCCUAUCUGCCGUGGGCGCUGGAGAACUGAGGGGGGCUGCUCCUAGUACGAGAGGACCGGAGUGGACGCAUCACUGGUGUUCGGGUUGUCAUGCCAAUGGCACUGCCCGGUAGCUAAAUGCGGAAGAGAUAAGUGCUGAAAGCAUCUAAGCACGAAACUUGCCCCGAGAUGAGUUCUCCCUGACUCCUUGAGAGUCCUGAAGGAACGUUGAAGACGACGACGUUGAUAGGCCGGGUGUGUAAGCGCAGCGAUGCGUUGAGCUAACCGGUACUAAUGAACCGUGAGGCUUAACCUU
This 2905-nucleotide ribosomal RNA is filed under the name Escherichia coli. Its description in RNAcentral is "23S ribosomal RNA". It matches the Rfam family "Bacterial large subunit ribosomal RNA". Lineage: Bacteria; Pseudomonadati; Pseudomonadota; Gammaproteobacteria; Enterobacterales; Enterobacteriaceae. RNAcentral also lists the same sequence under 1 other name. The record is from RNAcentral.